AUGAAAGCUUUAUGUCAUAAAAGGAUGGCCUCAUAAUAAUUAAAUAUCACAAGAUAAACUAUAGUAAAUAUCCCACUAACUCAAACCAUAGCCGAAGGUAAUUAUUACAAUUUCAAAUAAACUGACAUAUCAAUCCUAAACAUAAUAACUCUAAUCCAUUGGAAUGAAUGGAGCUCUCAUCACACUUGCCCAUGAUUCCCCUGAUUACCUGCCGGAAGAAAAACACAGCAUGAGCCAAAUGCCCAGUACGGAUAUAGAAUACAAUUAAUGAACCGAAAUAACUAACUCAAUUAAAUGAAAUGAGAUGGAAUGAACUGAAACGAAACGAAUAGAACUAACACAAUAAAAUGGUAGGCUGAAUCAAAUGGCUAGGUGUUAUUUCAUACCGAGCUCAAAAUAAAUAAUAACAUAUCUUGCCACACAGGCAAGUCAAAUAAUGCCACACAGGCAAUCAAACUAAUGCCACAUAGGCAAUCACACAUCGGACUGCGCAAUCCAGAUGCGUGCAAAAUCGGAAGGCGUGUUUGGCACAAACAUCACCAAUCCGCAGAAUAGAACAGAACAGAAAACUAGGGUCGACCCAUACGCCUCCCACAACAAAACACCAAAUGGCCAACUCCCACCGGAGCACAAAAUGGAGACGCCGUGGACUGAUCACACCGCCACGGAAGGUGUCAUGCCUCGGUGCCAAGAGGACAUGCCUGUGGUACCCCCACAGGUGGUUAUAGCUCAGGUAUACCCUACGGUAUUCUAACAAAAAUAUCAUGUCACAACACAUGCGACACAAUAUCAACACAAAUGGGUUAUAACGUGUACAUGUUAAACUAGAACGAGAUAUCAACACAAAGUCUCCAAAAAUAUUAACAUGUACAUUACUAAAAAUAUCAAAAUAAAUUUAGACAUGUUGUACUAGUCUACAGAGUGCAAAUAUGAGUUCCAACUAUGAACGCCAAACGAGUUUAUCACAGUGAAUUUGACAAGAAAUAAUCAUAAGAGGCAAUACUAAUUUUCAAAACGCAUAACGAAACGAAUAAAUUAAAAACAAAAGAGUCUCGCUGCAAGAGUACGGAAUCCGUACCUGGAUUAAGCAAUGUAAUAUCCAAAAUUUAA
Molecule: long non-coding RNA, 1110 nt
Filed under: Panax ginseng (ginseng)
Lineage: Eukaryota; Viridiplantae; Streptophyta; Magnoliopsida; Apiales; Araliaceae
Description: long non-coding RNA (PGIN_LNC007418)
Source: RNAcentral